RNAcentral lists this transfer RNA (72 nucleotides) under Baudoinia panamericana UAMH 10762. RNAcentral describes it as "tRNA-Val (CAC) (tRNA-Val-CAC-1-1)". It matches the Rfam family "tRNA". Rfam says of the family: Transfer RNA (tRNA) molecules are approximately 80 nucleotides in length. Their secondary structure includes four short double-helical elements and three loops (D, anti-codon, and T loops). Further hydrogen bonds mediate the characteristic L-shaped molecular structure. tRNAs have two regions of fundamental functional importance: the anti-codon, which is responsible for specific mRNA codon recognition, and the 3' end, to which the tRNAs corresponding amino acid is attached (by aminoacyl-tRNA synthetases). tRNAs cope with the degeneracy of the genetic code in two manners: having more than one tRNA (with a specific anti-codon) for a particular amino acid; and 'wobble' base-pairing, i.e. permitting non-standard base-pairing at the 3rd anti-codon position. The record is from RNAcentral. Lineage: Eukaryota; Fungi; Ascomycota; Dothideomycetes; Mycosphaerellales; Teratosphaeriaceae.
AUUCCCACAGUCUAGUGGUAUGACGCAUCCUUCACACGGAUGAGGUCCCGGGUUCGAUCCCCGGUGGAAGUA